This 270-nucleotide ribosomal RNA is filed under the name uncultured archaeon. RNAcentral describes it as "partial 16S ribosomal RNA". It matches the Rfam family "Archaeal small subunit ribosomal RNA", at positions 477 to 747 of the family's 1478-position model. The record is from RNAcentral.
CAGCACCUCAAGUGGUCAGGAUGAUUAUUGGGCCUAAAGCAUCCGUAGCCGGCUCUGUAAGUUCUCGGUUAAAUCUGUACGCUCAACGUACAGGCUGCCGGGAAUACUGCAGAGCUAGGGAGUGGGAGAGGUAGACGGUACUCGGUAGGAAGGGGUAAAAUCCUUUGAUCUAUUGAUGACCACCUGUGGCGAAGGCGGUCUACCAGAACACGUCCGACGGUGAGGGAUGAAAGCUGGGGGAGCAAACCGGAUUAGAUACCCGAGUAGUCC